This 226-nucleotide long non-coding RNA is filed under the name Glycine max (soybean). RNAcentral's name for it is "long non-coding RNA (GMAX_LNC001974)". Lineage: Eukaryota; Viridiplantae; Streptophyta; Magnoliopsida; Fabales; Fabaceae. The record is from RNAcentral.
AGGAACCUAGUUUGGGCAAAGGUGGUGAUAUUGUUAUGGCAGCAAGUCGAUCCAAGAUGGAUUUGAGUUUGUUGUUCAUACCGGAUUGGCUUUGGGUUAGUGCAACAUGUCCCUGGGUGAGUCUGGCGACAACUUCUUUGAGGCAAUCAAUUAAAGCUUGUCAUGUAUUAUGUUCCGACAUGACGACACGAAAACAAGGCAAGACAAACCACUUUUGUUAUGGUUU